GUGCCAGCAGCCGCGGUAAUACGGAGGAUGCAAGCGUUAUCCGGAAUUAUUGGGCGUAAAGCGUCCGCAGGUGGUGAUUCAAGUCUGCUGUCAAAGGUUGAAGCUUAACUUCAAAAAGGCAGUGGAAACUGAAUAACUAGAGGUCAGUAGGGGUAGCAGGAAUUCCCAGUGUAGCGGUGAAAUGCGUAGAGAUUGGGAAGAACAUCGGUGGCGAAAGCGUGCUACUGGGCUGAAUCUGACACUGAGGGACGAAAGCUAGGGGAGCAAAAGGGAUUAGAUACCCCUGUAGUCCUAGCCGUAAACGAUGGAAACUAGGCGUGGCUUGUAUCGACCCGAGCCGUGCCGAAGCUAACGCGUUAAGUUUCCCGCCUGGGGAGUACGCACGCAAGUGUGAAACUCAAAGAAAUUGACGGGA
This 415-nucleotide ribosomal RNA is filed under the name uncultured Chroococcus sp. Its description in RNAcentral is "bacterial SSU rRNA". It matches the Rfam family "Bacterial small subunit ribosomal RNA", at positions 505 to 918 of the family's 1533-position model. Lineage: Bacteria; Bacillati; Cyanobacteriota; Cyanophyceae; Chroococcales; Chroococcaceae. The record is from RNAcentral.